RNAcentral lists this ribosomal RNA (440 nucleotides) under uncultured Shewanella sp. Its description in RNAcentral is "bacterial SSU rRNA". It matches the Rfam family "Bacterial small subunit ribosomal RNA", at positions 358 to 790 of the family's 1533-position model. Lineage: Bacteria; Pseudomonadati; Pseudomonadota; Gammaproteobacteria; Alteromonadales; Shewanellaceae. The record is from RNAcentral.
GGAAUAUUGCACAAUGGGGGAAACCCUGAUGCAGCCAUGCCGCGUGUGUGAAGAAGGCCUUCGGGUUGUAAAGCACUUUCAGUAGGGAGGAAAGGGUGAGUCUUAAUACGGCUCAUCUGUGACGUUACCUACAGAAGAAGGACCGGCUAACUCCGUGCCAGCAGCCGCGGUAAUACGGAGGGUCCGAGCGUUAAUCGGAAUUACUGGGCGUAAAGCGUGCGCAGGCGGUUUGUUAAGCGAGAUGUGAAAGCCCUGGGCUCAACCUAGGAAUAGCAUUUCGAACUGGCGAACUAGAGUCUUGUAGAGGGGGGUAGAAUUCCAGGUGUAGCGGUGAAAUGCGUAGAGAUCUGGAGGAAUACCGGUGGCGAAGGCGGCCCCCUGGACAAAGACUGACGCUCAUGCACGAAAGCGUGGGGAGCAAACAGGAUUAGAUACCCGAG